This 85-nucleotide transfer RNA is filed under the name Felis catus (domestic cat). It matches the Rfam family "tRNA". Rfam says of the family: Transfer RNA (tRNA) molecules are approximately 80 nucleotides in length. Their secondary structure includes four short double-helical elements and three loops (D, anti-codon, and T loops). Lineage: Eukaryota; Metazoa; Chordata; Mammalia; Carnivora; Felidae. The record is from Rfam by way of RNAcentral.
GCCUGGGUGGGUCAGUUGGUUGAGCAUCUGACUUAGGCUCAGGUCAUGAUCUCAUAAUGAGUGGGUUCGAGCCCUGCUUCAGGCU